This 449-nucleotide ribosomal RNA is filed under the name uncultured bacterium. RNAcentral's name for it is "partial 16S ribosomal RNA". It matches the Rfam family "Bacterial small subunit ribosomal RNA", at positions 29 to 523 of the family's 1533-position model. The record is from RNAcentral.
AGCGAACGCUGGCGGCAGGCUUAACACAUGCAAGUCGAACGCCCGGGCAACCGGGAGUGGCAGACGGGUGAGUAACGCGUGGGAACGUACCCUUUGGUUCGGAAUAACUCAGGGAAACUUGAGCUAAUACCGGAUAAGCCCUUUUGGGGAAAAAUUUAUCGCCGAAGGAUCGGCCCGCGUCCGAUUAGCUAGUUGGUGAGGUAAUGGCUCACCAAGGCGACGAUCGGUAGCUGGUCUGAGAGGAUGAUCAGCCACACUGGGACUGAGACACGGCCCAGACUCCUACGGGAGGCAGCAAUGGGCAAUAUUGGACAAUGGGGGCAACCCUGACCCAGCCAUGCCGCGUGAGUGAUGAAGGCCCUAGGGUUGUAAAGCUCUUUCGGCGGGGACGAUAAUGACUGUACCCACAGAAGAAGCCCCGGCUAACUCCGUGCCAGCAGCCGCGGUAA